Molecule: ribosomal RNA, 393 nt
Filed under: uncultured bacterium
Lineage: Bacteria
Description: bacterial SSU rRNA
Rfam family: Bacterial small subunit ribosomal RNA
Source: RNAcentral
GACGAACGCUGGCGGCGUGCUUAACACAUGCAAGUCGAGCGGUAAGGCCCUUUCGGGGGUACACGAGCGGCGAACGGGUGAGUAACACGUGGGUGACCUGCCCUCAGCUCUGGGAUAAGCCUGGGAAACCGGGUCUAAUACUGGAUAUGACUCCAUGACGCAUGUUGUGGGGUGGAAAGCCUUGUGCGGCUGAGGAUGGGCCCGCGGCCUAUCAGCUUGUUGGUGGGGNGAUGGCCUACCAAGGCGACGACGGGUAGCCGGCCUGAGAGGGCGACCGGCCACACUGGGACUGAGACACGGCCCAGACUCCUACGGGAAGCAGCAGUGGGGAAUCUUGCGCAAUGGGCGAAAGCCUGACGCAGCGACGCCGCGUGAGGGAUGACGGCCUGGUGU